UAAUCCUGCUUACCUACAAGGACAACCUGUUUGUUGACUGGGGUUCCCUCUCCCUUGUUUUCUAGCAAUGAUUACAAAAGUUUGCCAUCUGAGCUUGUACCUCUGAGAGCUGUAAGACCAUCUCUCAGGGUAAUGGAUCUUUGAGGACUCACCACAGAUGCCCUCCUGGCUUGUGUUCUUUUCCUAAUCUUCUUUACUCUAUGGAGCCAAAAAUUCAAAACAGGAAAACUGCCACCAGGUCCAACUCCUCUUCCUUUUAUUGGCCACGUCCUGCAGUUGGAUUUCAAAAACAUACCUGCAUCAUUUUCACAGGAACAGAGACAACUAGCAGCACUCUAAAAUAUGGGCUGCUGCUCAUUGUGAAACAUCCUGAGGUCCAAGCAAAAAUUCAUGAGGAAAUUGAUCAUGUAACUGGACAUAAUCGAGUUCCUUUCAUAAGGGACAGACAAGAUAUGCCCUAUCUCGAUGUUAUGGUGCAUGAAGUGCAAAGAUUCAUUGAUCUCCUACCUCUCAGCCUGCACCAUGCCGUGAACCACGGCAUCCAGUUCCAACAAUAUUUCCUCCCAAAGGUCAGCAUUUGUGGAGCCAUGGAAUCUAGUGUUGGAAGACAUCUCAAAUGUCAUCUGGUCCAGUGAUCACAUUUUAGACAUGAGAAAAUCAAGUCCCAUUUUCAUGAUCUCAUAGGAAGUUAUCACUUAAGGCUACAUACAUACAAGCUAUUUUGCAUGUGGAGUUGAAUGAAGAAAGAGUGGAAAGUGUAUACUUGUCUCGGUGCUCCCUGCUUCAAAUUCACCAUGGCAACACUGAAAGGAAAAUGUGCAGGGAAAUGACAGAGUACGAUUGCUCAGGGGAAAUUUUUCUUUAUGUCAUUUCCAUUUACUAGACAGUGAAGUAGACUGUGUGUGUAAUAUUAUCUGUCUCACCACACAGAUGGAGACAUUGCCUAUCAGGUUAAAUAACUUGCCAAGGUCAUUUUAAAAUGUUGGACCUGAAACUAAACCCAAGGUCUUCAGAUUCUACAAUAUUGAUUUCUGGGGUUGCUAAAUAAACAUUAAUUGAAUUAGAUUGAAGUUUCCUAGCAAUGGCUCAGCAGAACUAUUCUACUGCAAAGAAAGAAGGGAGCAUUCCACUUAAUUUCAUUCUUACUAAACCCCUUUGAGUGCAUUGUUGAGUUCAAAUUAGCCAUGCUUUAGCAAAAACCUGCUAUGUGAGAAUUUCUGAGCCAAGUGCUGUCGACAAGAGGCAAGAAUAGAAGGGUAUCUGACUAAAGAGGACAUUGGUUUCUCCUGGAUGGAGCACAAUUUGGAGCCAGAAAAGUCAGCCCCAACUAUUAUUUCUUUCAUUACCAGAGUGACUUCCUGCUGAAGUCUACCCCUAGAGGCCUUAAGUAUUGCUUCAGGCACUGAAAAUUCACAUAUCCUGCCUGUCCAGAGUCCCACAGGUAGCAUGUGUGGAUGUGAAAUAUAGACCAAGGAAAUGGGGGGAGAGAGAGCACAAAUUGCUCAGGGCCUUAGCCAAGGCUUCCUAUAGGAGGGAGUACCCAAGGAGUACUGGGGAUUCUAAAAGGCUGAAGUGAGCAAGCAGUGCAUUCUAGGCACAGGAUAUGGCCAUUUUAAAGGCACAAAGACCAUUGAGGGAGCCAAGUGGAUGGAGAAGAUCACUUGAACCAGUGUAGCUGGAAACCCAAGGAUGGCAUGAUGGUGAUAUUAAUGGGGACAUCAACUUGGAGAGCUAGACUGGGCUCUAUGCAGAUUCUUCAUGGCUUGAUCUUCCAGUAUAUACCAUACAUAAUGAAGAGUGUCUUUAGGACUAGAGACAAUAGGGAGCCACUGGACUGUCCUACCAAGGAUAUUCAGGAUAAUAACUGAAUUUCCCCUGGAAUUUCUUCCCUCUAGAGCACAACAAUCUUCCUCCUGGACUCUGCACUCUUGAAUGAAAGCAAAGAAUUUCUCAACCCUGACUAGUUUGACCCCCAGCACUUCCUGGAUGUGAAUGGGAAAUUCAAGAAAAGUGACUACUUUAUGCCGUUUUCCACUGGAAAACCAUCUUUUCUUGGAGAGGGCCUGGCAAGGAUGGAGUUGUUUUUGUUCUUUAUCGCCAUUCUACAGAACUUCACCCUCAAAUGUGGUGGAGAUCCAAAUGAAAUUAACAUGAAGCCCAAUAGUGUUGGAUUCACCAAUGUUCCACUAUAUUACUAACUAUGCUUUCUUCUUCACUAAGGAAGAAGACAAAGCUGAUUUGCAGAACUAUCCAGCUGGUUUAAUCUUCUGUUUUUCACUGGAAUCCCCUUGAUGGAAAGAAAUAUUCCCUCCUCAUGAUUAAAGUGGGCCUUAAUUUCUGGAGACAAGUCAGUCUAGCAGAGUACACUGUAUGUCAUUAUGUAAUAGGGCUUGGUUUGUCAAUAUUCUUUGCAACCAUAUCACUAGUGUCUCCAGCCAUGCUCCAAUUAACACCCUCAAUUCCAGUUUUAGGGUGUAGAGGAAGUUCUGCAAACUAUUCACAUAUAAAACCCAUAUUAGUUUGUACUUUCCUUUUCAAAUAUCUUUAAAUAUAAUCUUUUUUUAUUGUACA
This is a long non-coding RNA of Trichosurus vulpecula (common brushtail), 2571 nucleotides long. RefSeq lists it as uncharacterized. The transcript is spliced from 4 exons. Lineage: Eukaryota; Metazoa; Chordata; Mammalia; Diprotodontia; Phalangeridae. The record is from RefSeq and is a predicted model, not a curated record.